Molecule: ribosomal RNA, 252 nt
Filed under: uncultured bacterium
Lineage: Bacteria
Description: partial 16S ribosomal RNA
Rfam family: Bacterial small subunit ribosomal RNA
Source: RNAcentral
GACGUAGGGGGCCAGCGUUGUUCGGAAUUACUGGGCGUAAAGGGCGCGUAGGCGGCCGCCUAAGUCAGACGUGAAAGCCCCCGGCUCAACCGGGGAAGGGGCCGCGAACUGGCGUUCUUGAGGGGGAGAGGGGAGAGCGGAAUUCCUGGUGUAGCGGUGAAAUGCGUAGAGAUCAGGAGGAACACCCAUGGCGAAGGCAUCUCUCUGGCUUCACCCUGACGCUGAGGCGCGAAAGCGUGGGGAGCGAACGGG